This is a long non-coding RNA of Arvicola amphibius (Eurasian water vole), 1238 nucleotides long. RefSeq lists it as uncharacterized. Lineage: Eukaryota; Metazoa; Chordata; Mammalia; Rodentia; Cricetidae. The transcript is spliced from 3 exons. The record is from RefSeq and is a predicted model, not a curated record.
GCGCACCUCCAGGACUUCCGGAAAGCUGUCACAAAGCACAGGGAGCUGGCGCACACCCAGGCAGUGCGGCCCACUCCAGUUGAGGCGUAGAGCACCCAGCACCUUCCUGAGCUGCUCUUUCAAAGCCCAGAUAGUGCUUGUCUAUCUAGCACCCCCUUCAAGCUACACCCUAAACCUGUACCGUGCUCUACCUUAGAGACUCAGGGUCGUCCAGGAAGUCCUCUGCCACCCGCUUGUACAGGGACUGCUGGCUGGGAGGCAUGGGGCUGCUGGAGCGGAAGCUGUCCAUCUGCUCACGGCUGGAUGUGGAAGUCAGGUCCCACCACAGCCGGGACUGGUGGACGGUGGGCAGAGAGGGACAGCACAGAGAAGAAAGGAGAGGGGGACAGUUCCCACUUGGCUGACAAACACAUCCAAGCGUCAGUUGCUGAUAACAACCCUGCUCCAAGUGACUAUGAGUCCUGAACCUGCUGAAACUGAUGUGGACCAGUCCAGCCAUGAUGAAAUUGAAGCUCAAUUGGUACCGUGUGUGUGGGACAGAAAUAUGCUGAUCUUGAUAUUGCUGCUGAUAGUCCAGAAAAGCCAGAGUAAGACCAAUUGGGCCUAAGUUCCUGAUCCACCUAUUUUACAUCCUGCUGUUUGGGAAGGAAAGGAGAUUGUGGUCACAGUCAACCAGACACGUCUUUCAGAUUGAGCUGCCACACAACAGCUUCUGAUUUCUUGAAAUUUUCUCAUGUUGGAUAUGGCAAAGGAAUUCCUGUAUGUUUAGCAAAGAAUAUUUGCCUUAGAGGGAUGUCUCGGAGUGUUCCCAAAAUUAAUUGUGGAACAUGAUAAACAUUGCACUUAUUAUACAAAGUUAUUGCUUCCUCAGGUAAUUGAGUAAGUGAUACUUCACCCUCUCAACCAUUUCCUCCAUGCAUGAAGGAACCGAGAGAGUCAAAUAGAACACUGUUGUGGAGAUGAUGCACUGGCAUUAUCCCAUUAAAGUACAACAUCACAGGGAAGCCACAGUACAUUCUGGACUGGUCUGGGAAUCAAGAAGAUUAUAGCGACUCUUAUCCUUUGUCUACAGCAGAAUAUUGGGACCAAGGACUGUCAGCUGGAGUUUGGUAUUCCAGUACAAAAUUUCCACAGACUUACGUUUGGAAACUUGCUGCCGCCAUGGGAACAGUGGCAGGACAACCCAGUUCUUCAAAACCUGUUUGCCCCCUGAAAGGAACCAUUUGGGCUUGUAUGAA